Molecule: ribosomal RNA, 301 nt
Filed under: uncultured bacterium
Lineage: Bacteria
Description: partial 16S ribosomal RNA
Rfam family: Bacterial small subunit ribosomal RNA
Source: RNAcentral
CAGCAGCCGCGGGAAUACAGAGAAUGCAAGCGUUAUCCGGAAUGAUUGGGCGUAAAGGGCUCGCAGGCGGUUUCUUAAGUCUGAUGUGAAAGCCCCCGGCUCAACCGGGGAGGGUCAUUGGAAACUGGGAAACUUGAGUGCAGAAGAGGAGAGUGGAAUUCCACGUGUAGCGGUGAAAUGCGUAGAGAUGUGGAGGAACACCAGUGGCGAAGGCGACUCUCUGGUCUGUAACUGACGCUGAGGAGCGAAAGCGUGGGGAGCGAACAGGAUUAGAUACCCCUGUAGUCCCUGUCUCUUAUAC